AUCCGCCCUUCCCGACUUCUUAAUCUUCCAGCAGAGUUGAUUGUGAGAUCACAGGUCGUGAGGAUGAUGACAUCUCGAGUGUACUGCUCGUUAAGUGCUGUUUUAUUGUGUCUGUCUGCAUGUUUGAACACAAUAGAAGCUGGAGUCGUAGCAGCAAAGCCAGGACAGUGUCCAAGCACAAACUCUGGAGCAGGAAUGUGUGCUGAGAUCUGUUCCAAUGACAGUGACUGUCCGAGCAAUGAGAAAUGCUGCAGCAAUGGAUGUGGACAUCAGUGUAUGGCUCGAUAUACAGCCGAACCGUUAACGCCUGCAGCCGAACCACAGAAUCCUUCAGUGACGCCUGCAGCCAAACCGCAGAAUCCUCCAGUG
Long non-coding RNA from Rhinichthys klamathensis goyatoka, 369 nucleotides. RefSeq lists it as uncharacterized. The transcript is spliced from 3 exons. The record is from RefSeq and is a predicted model, not a curated record. Lineage: Eukaryota; Metazoa; Chordata; Actinopteri; Cypriniformes; Leuciscidae.